Long non-coding RNA from Pelmatolapia mariae (spotted tilapia), 520 nucleotides. RefSeq lists it as uncharacterized. Lineage: Eukaryota; Metazoa; Chordata; Actinopteri; Cichliformes; Cichlidae. The record is from RefSeq and is a predicted model, not a curated record. The transcript has 3 exons.
UCAUUUUAAAAAUCCUGCUGCUAUUCAAAUUAGCCACACCGUGGGAUGUAAGGAGCUCUCUGAUUGGUUGGUCAGACACAGGCUGUCUGCCAGCCUGGAUUUUUCUAGCUCAUAGCUUCGCCCUGCUACGAAGCGUGUGUGCUUGUACAAAGGCCGUUCAGCCUCGGGAUUUACACUCGGCUCGACACGGAUAUGGGAAGAAUGAAGGGACCCUGCAGCGAAACGGAGAGCCAACCUCUGACUGAGUGCCCGUUUACUCAGUCUGACCACCUGUUGAAGGGCUGUUUGAUGACGAUUUGGACUCCUCUGGGAGAUGAGGACACACCCACAUCUGUUCCAUACUGCAGCCAUGGAUGGUGUUACGGCUCUGAGUCAGCUUUAGGCCAUCAGAUGCACACACUGGAAAACCAGCGCCUGUACUUCAUGCAGGAGAGACGGCCUCAGUGAUAAUUCAUCAGCAGCUGUGAAGAGAUGUAUUUGAAUAUCUUCUGGUUCCACUUUUCUUAACCUGGAAGCUGAG